CCAGUUGGAUUAUGAGCUUGUCUGACAGUCUGCAAAAGCUUGCUACGAAACCCCCCAGUAACGAGGCCACCCAUAUGAAAACUAAAGCAAUGUUCAAUUGUCAAGAAAAAUUUAUAUCCACAUGAAAUAUUUCGAGCUACAAUGGGUUCCCAUACCGAAGCAUCAUAUUCGAUGAUAUGGUAGUUAUCUAAAUUAUGGUAAUUCAAUGGAAAAUAAUUUCAUUAACCAAAUUCCGACAAAUUUACAUUAAAAACAUUU
Molecule: small RNA, 258 nt
Filed under: Drosophila mojavensis
Lineage: Eukaryota; Metazoa; Arthropoda; Insecta; Diptera; Drosophilidae
Description: GI26221
Source: RNAcentral